Long non-coding RNA from Orbicella faveolata, 1473 nucleotides. The record is from RefSeq and is a predicted model, not a curated record. Lineage: Eukaryota; Metazoa; Cnidaria; Anthozoa; Scleractinia; Merulinidae.
UGCAAGGCAAUAGUGUUAUAGGUAAGCAGUGUGUACAGAGGGCUAUGAAGCUGUAUUCCUUCGCACGCAACGCAGUCCCAUCGUACUAGGAAAUCGUGUUGUAGGUAUGUAAAGUGUGCAAAGGACUGAAGUCUUUUGCACACAUUGCGGGCCUAUGGAACUUGAACGCAGAGCAUGAGAGUUUUCAGUAAUGGCUCUUUGAUGGAAUUGCGUGCUGUGGUUGGCUAAUUCUAGGGCAUUAUUCUCCCAUAAUAACCACGGGCCAAUUACGGGCCUGCAAAAGCAAAACGAAAAGCCAUAUAAUAAACAACUAAUUAACCUCAAAUGUUUGAUCUGAACAGGAAAAUCUCAAACCUCGGCCUUGCCAUAUUGACUGAUCGAUCGGUUUGAGAUUUCCCUGUAAAGACCUCACUCUUGGUUAAUAAGUAGUUAAAAUUGCUGACAUAGCUCUCUUGAUGAUAUCAUGUAAAAUGCUUAUUAUGGGUGAUUGCAGCAGAGUCUGAAACAAGAACAGAGGUAUUGUUGAAAGAUCAACAAUGAUUGUCAUAAAUUAUUUUCUGCAUUACCAUCUAUUGCAGAAAACAAGUUGCAUGCUAUUUGCUCGGAGCUUCCUUCGUGGGAAUACAUUAGCUACAAAGCUUCUUGCUUCUACUAUGGAUUUUGUGUUAAGAGGUACCCAGAAAGUGCUGUUUCUUAAACACGAGGGUUAUCUUGGCGCAUGUGGUGCUUUACUUAAAUUAAUGAAGAGCAUGGAGGCAGACAAAGAUCUUGUAAACUGUGGCUCAAUAAAUAGGUCAUAAACCCCUUUGUUAUAGACACACAUUCCCUUUAGUUACUAGUGCCCUCAAAGAACAUUGCUUCAAACACAAAUAGCAAGUAAAUGAGUCUACAUGUAAAGCAGACAUCAAAGCGUUUAAUCAGAUAGGCAGUGUUAGGGAUUUUUUCUCUUAAUGUUUAUUCACGUGUGCAGUGUGCAGUGUGAUGCUUGCUUUUUUUUCCUUACAGUUUUUUGUUCUUUCGUAAAUUCAGAUUGUAUUAGGUCAAGUCAAUACAGCAAACCAAGAAAAUGCUAUUUUACAAUUAUAACACAAUCAUUUUUAUGUAACAUGUACAUUAUUCAUUAGACUUUAGUAAUAACAUUCAAAAACACAUUCAGCUGUACAUAUUACAAAUAAGUCAACUGUAAGUUACAUGUACAGGUUUCCUUGCAUUAUACUUAACAUGUAAAACAUAAAUACAUUGUCUAGUUUUGUUAUUAAAGUUCAUCUUUUUUAUUCACAAAGGUGCUCUUGUUUAAAACACUCUGAACUUGCUAAACUCUAAUAGAUUGAAUUUACAUAUUUUUAAAUAUUAGUUGUGAAUAAAAACUGUAAACAUGUCACAAAUACUAAACAUUCUCACACUUACGAAUCCAAUUCAUCAUAGAUACAAAACUCCCGACAAUAUUAAGAAUCCUGCACCCCCCCCCCCCCC